AGCGAACGCUGGCGGCAGGCUUAACACAUGCAAGUCGAGCGGGCACCUUUCGGGGUGUCAGCGGCGGACGGGUGAGUAACGCGUGGGAACGUGCCCUCUGGUUCGGAAUAACUCAGGGAAACUGGAGCUAAUACCGGAUACGCCCUUUUGGGGAAAGGCUUGCUGCCGGAGGAUCGGCCCGCGUCUGAUUAGCUAGUUGGUGAGGUAACGGCUCACCAAGGCGACGAUCAGUAGCUGGUCUGAGAGGAUGAUCAGCCACACUGGGACUGGGACACGGCCCAGACUCCUACGGGAGGCAGCAGUGGGGAAUAUUGGACAAUGGGCGCAAGCCUGAUCCAGCCAUGCCGCGUGAGUGAUGAAGGCCUUAGGGUUGUAAAGCUCUUUUAUCCGGGACGAUAAUGACGGUACCGGAGGAAUAAGCCCCGGCUAACUUCGUG
Molecule: ribosomal RNA, 437 nt
Filed under: uncultured bacterium
Lineage: Bacteria
Description: partial 16S ribosomal RNA
Rfam family: Bacterial small subunit ribosomal RNA
Source: RNAcentral